AACGAACGCUGGCGGCAGGCCUAACACAUGCAAGUCGAACGCCCUAGCAAUAGGGAGUGGCAGACGGGUGAGUAACACGUGGGAACGUGCCUUUCGGUUCGGAAUAACCCAGGGAAACUUGGACUAAUACCGGAUACGUGCGAGAGCAGAAAGAUUUAUCGCCGAAAGAUCGGCCCGCGUCCGAUUAGUUAGUUGGUGAGGUAAUGGCUCACCAAGGCGACGAUCGGUAGCUGGUCUGAGAGGAUGAUCAGCCACACUGGGACUGAGACACGGCCCAGACUCCUACGGGAGGCAGCAGUGGGGAAUAUUGGACAAUGGGCGCAAGCCUGAUCCAGCCAUGCCGCGUGAGUGAUGAAGGCCCUAGGGUUGUAAAGCUCUUUCGCCAGGGACGAUAAUGACGGUACCUGGAUAAGAAGCCCCGGCUAACUUCGUGCCAGCCGCCGCAGUAAC
RNAcentral lists this ribosomal RNA (450 nucleotides) under uncultured bacterium. Its description in RNAcentral is "bacterial SSU rRNA". It matches the Rfam family "Bacterial small subunit ribosomal RNA", at positions 29 to 524 of the family's 1533-position model. The record is from RNAcentral.